This 174-nucleotide non-coding RNA is filed under the name Candidatus Cloacimonadota bacterium. Its description in RNAcentral is "6S RNA". It matches the Rfam family "6S / SsrS RNA". Rfam says of the family: E. coli 6S RNA was the first non coding RNA to be sequenced, but its function was unknown until recently. It consists of 184 nucleotides that fold into an extended hairpin structure with a large single-stranded internal bulge. The 6S RNA specifically associates with RNA polymerase holoenzyme containing the sigma70 specificity factor. The record is from RNAcentral. Lineage: Bacteria; Pseudomonadati; Candidatus Cloacimonadota.
UUUUGCCUGCGGAAUUCGUGAUAUGGAUUGCACAAAAGCUACUGAAAAUCGGGGAACCGAGCCAUGGGUGGCGUGCAAGCCGGCCAGUUCCGGAUACACAAAGCCCACAAGGUAGGUGCCCACCUUAUGCUUGGCUUUUCGCGGACAAGCAUACACGGUUCACGCAGGCCUUUU